This 224-nucleotide RNase P RNA is filed under the name Mesorhizobium sp. RNAcentral describes it as "partial RNase P RNA component class A". It matches the Rfam family "Bacterial RNase P class A", at positions 174 to 367 of the family's 367-position model. Rfam says of the family: Ribonuclease P (RNase P) is a ubiquitous endoribonuclease, found in archaea, bacteria and eukarya as well as chloroplasts and mitochondria. Lineage: Bacteria; Pseudomonadati; Pseudomonadota; Alphaproteobacteria; Hyphomicrobiales; Phyllobacteriaceae. The record is from RNAcentral.
CCCACCGCGCGCCUGGCAACAGGGGCGGCACGGCAAACCCCACCGGGAGCAAAACCGAAUAGGGGCGGUGCGAGGGGAAACCCUCGAGGGCUGUUUCCGGCCCACCGCCCGGGUAGGUUGCGUGAGGCGCAUGGCAACAUGCGCCCAAGAUGAAUGGCCGCCACGUUCCCGCUCCGCAAGGGGCGGGGGCCAUACAGAACCCGGCUUACAGGCCGGCUGGCAUC